UACGAAGGGUGCAAGCGUUACUCGGAAUUACUGGGCGUAAAGCGUGCGUAGGUGGUUUGUUAAGUCUGAUGUGAAAGCCCUGGGCUCAACCUGGGAAUUGCAUUUGUGACUGCAUCGCUGGAGUGCGGCAGAGGGGGAUGGAAUUCCGCGUGUAGCAGUGAAAUGCGUAGAUAUGCGGGAGGAACACCGAUGGCGAAGGCAAUCCCCUGGGCCUGCACUGACGCUCGAUGCACGAAAGCGUCGGGGAGCAAACAGG
This 256-nucleotide ribosomal RNA is filed under the name uncultured bacterium. Its description in RNAcentral is "partial 16S ribosomal RNA". It matches the Rfam family "Bacterial small subunit ribosomal RNA", at positions 524 to 776 of the family's 1533-position model. The record is from RNAcentral.